This is a long non-coding RNA of Zingiber officinale, 989 nucleotides long. RefSeq lists it as uncharacterized. The transcript has 4 exons. NCBI's taxonomy places the organism in Eukaryota, Viridiplantae, Streptophyta, Magnoliopsida, Zingiberales, Zingiberaceae. The record is from RefSeq and is a predicted model, not a curated record.
GUUUCUCUCCUUAAUUCCUCACACGUGACCCUUUUCCCCAAUGUCCCCUCUCCAUCGCCAAUGCCCACCGCCUCCUCGCACUCCGCCGCAGGGCGUCGACACCGACGACCACGAAGGGUCGGACACCUCUGGUGUAGCCUCCAUGGCUACCAGCACCGGACGCGGCCACGACGGGUGCGGAGGCCAGCCCCUCUCCCGAUCUCCUCGCGCCAAGCAACACCGAUGUUAUGCCCUAGCUCUCGAUCCACUGCCGGCCAAUCUAUCUCUCUUCCCGAUCCAUGAUCACCGUGGCCUCCUCAUACCAGAGCAGCAUCAUCGACUCAUGGUGCCGAGCCUAGCCUGAUAGCAUCGCUGUCCUCCAUUGCUCAGAGUCGGCGCCAUCCAUUUGACCUAGCGCCGCCGCUGUUUAGAGCUGCUGGUGUCAGUGUAACCAUCAUCCAGCCAUGCCUCCCCGUGUCUUGCUUCCCUUCUAUUCUCCCGAACUAGCCGCCGCUGUGAGCCACUGCUGGGCAGUGUAGAUCCACUGAGAAGAGGCCAAAGGGUAAUUCUGAUUUUGAUUUCUAGGGUUGUGUAAACCUGAUUGCUUCACUUAAUGGAGUGGAAUUUGGAUUAACCUUUGGAUGUAAUUUAUUGAUUGUUAUGUUGAGGAUAUCAAUAGAUUUAAGCCUUGCUAAGACAUAGGCAUCCAUCACUAGCAGGGCACCAAGGUGUGGUCGCUACUGUUCCAGUAGGACCAAGAGUUUGAUUAAGGUUUGCCUCUCAAUCAUGGAAUUCAAUGAUAUUUUUUCUCUCCAUAGAAAGAAGACUACAUUUGAGCAUGAGCCUAGCUUUUAUCAGUAAGUGAAGACUACUAUUAGAUGCAUAUGGAACAAUCCUAUGUACUUUUCUCAUUUGGUGACAGGUACUUAGAUUUUUGUGAAUCAAUAUAAUGGUUGAAGAUGAUCCAUCUAACUGAAUUUUUAUUUUACAAGACUUUGUUAGUUUUAAAA